AUUCCCCAAUACUACCCAUCUCUUUGUAGUUCCAUUAGAGAGAAGAAACCUUAUCUCUUUCAACAACACUGAUCUAUGUACAGGCAGAUCUCAUCUGUUUCUUCUCAUGUUUUUUUUUCUCUUAGCUCUCUUUCUUUUCAUGGUUUUUUCUCUUAGCAAAAUCUGGGAUCUCCCUUUUUUUUACUUCAAUCUAGGGUUUUAUUUUUCUUCAAUCCGUAUCUUCACUAUCCAUCUCGGUUGAUCUGAAAUUUUCUGUUUUGUUUUUGUGUACAGAAAACGAUCUUUAAAGAUCUCUCUCUUUGAUCUCCAUUUGCAGCUCCAUGAAUCUCUGGGAUUUUUCUGUCAGGAAAAAAAUUGCGGUCCUGAGUUAGCAGAUUGGGUUUUUGAUGGUGGUCCGAAGAUUCCCAAAAUGGGAUUUCUUACAAGGAGGUUGCAAGGUUCCAGAACUUAGAGAAGGUUCAUGGAUAUGAUGGAAUAUGGAAGGUUUGUCUUGUGAAAAUUUGAAUUAGAAUUCUCACAAACAAACAAAAAUAGCAUACUAUUUGUUAUGCAAAAAUUUUGCAGAUGCGUACAUGACGAGCAAUUGAUGGAUGUGCCAUUUUUGGUAUACAAUUAGUUGCAAUAAUACAGCAGGCCAUGUCGUCGACUUCUUUUCACGCAAAGCAUCCGGUGAUCUAAUCAUUUGCAAUUGCUUGCCAUCAGCCAGUAAAUCAUAUACAUGCAGUGGGUGAUUGUGGUUCCUAUAUAUGUCCAACUAUCCCACUCUGGUAUUGCUGGGUAGCAAGUCACUGUAGCUAAAGCUUGGUGAAGAGCAAUAAGAAGCAUGGGGUUCAUGUUACUGCAAUGGAUACUAAUUCUGAAAAAUUUAGGGAACUAUAAGAUAUCAUUGGGAAAAUAUUGUUGAAGUUUUACCUGUUAGCUAUUUUGCUUGAAGUUCUAUUUGUUUUACUUCUUAAUGAUGAAUGAUUACUGAUUGUUUGUGGAACAAGUCAGAGAGUAAAAAGGGUACUAUGGAGUUACUGAUAACAGCUUUAAUUAAGAUCCUUUCGGUGUAUACUGGCCACUCCUACAAUAAAUCAAGUAUGUUUUUUAGUUGCUUAUUUUGUCGUUCUCUCUAUCUAAAUAUAUCUUGUCUGUUUCGAAUAAAUGACAUAUAUUUUUAGAUUGAGAUUGUCGAAAGAUAUACAGGAGAGUGUUUUAAAGGCAUUUUCCAUCCAGAGAUUUGGAAGCUUGAGUUUGCUAUUUAGUGGAUAACGGACUGAUUAUCCUCUAAUUCCAAGGUACAAAAUUUCAGCUUGGAUUGAUUGUUGAGAACAACAAAGCUCGAUAGGAGGUUGUCUUGUGAGCAACUAGCUUAAUAUGUUCAGUGGUGGUUGCUCUGGAUGCAAUACUGGCCUGUAAAACUUUUCUACUGAUUCAGAUGAUCACCGAUUUCACUAUCUCCAACGUCAAUCUUCAGUUGAGGAUAAAUUGAACUGGACAUCAUCAUUUCUUGAGCUAUCAAUAACGACGGCAAAUGUGGUAAAUUGGUAAUGUUAUACCACUUAACAACAGAAAUAUCCAGCCUAAGAAAUAUUAAAGCUUCUCAGAAAACACACCCAUUAUGCAAAAGGAAUCACAAGGUAUAAUCAUCUUUUGACUAUGAGGGUUGAGUUCUAUGCAAGAGUGUGUUUUUUCCAGUUUUCUGUCUUGUUUAAGAAGUGUUGCUGGUUGACUUUUCCGUGUGGGUGUCUUCGUGUGAAGGAUCCAUUUGUCUUGUAAGGUAGUGAUGCUAAUUACUUGUAUAUUUGUAGCAUUUUUUACAACUUUGUACAAGCGAGCUUGUAAAAAUAUAUUUAUUUAAAUCGAUAUAUUCCUCUA
Papaver somniferum (opium poppy) is the source of this 1860-nucleotide long non-coding RNA. RefSeq lists it as uncharacterized. The record is from RefSeq and is a predicted model, not a curated record. NCBI's taxonomy places the organism in Eukaryota, Viridiplantae, Streptophyta, Magnoliopsida, Ranunculales, Papaveraceae. The transcript has 6 exons.